Molecule: ribosomal RNA, 482 nt
Filed under: uncultured bacterium
Lineage: Bacteria
Description: bacterial SSU rRNA
Rfam family: Bacterial small subunit ribosomal RNA
Source: RNAcentral
AAAUGAAUAGACGGGGACCCGCACAAGCGGAGGAGCGCGUGGUUUAAUUCGACGGCAAUCGAAGAACCUUACCAGGGUUUGAAAUGUAUCUGCAUGCCCCUAGAAAUAGGGGAGGCUUUCGAAGGUGAUACACAGGUGCUGCAUGGCCGUCGUCAGCUCGUGUCGUGAGAUGUUGGGUUAAGUCCCGAAACGAGCGCAACCCCUAUCCUAUGUUACAAGUGUCUUAGGAAACUGCCUCGGUAAAACGGGGAGGAAGGUGGGGAUGACGUCUGGUCCGCAUAGCCCUUAUGUCCUGGGCGACACACGCGCUACAAUGGCCGAUACAAUGGGAAGCCAAAUCGUAAGAUGGAGCAAAUCCUAUAAAGUCGGUCUCAGUUCGGAUUGAGGUCUGAAACUCGACCUCAUGAAGUUGGAUUCGCUAGUAAUCGUGGAUCAGCCAUGCCACGGUGAAUACGUUCUCGGGUCUUGCACACACCGCCCGU